RNAcentral lists this ribosomal RNA (253 nucleotides) under uncultured bacterium. RNAcentral describes it as "partial 16S ribosomal RNA". It matches the Rfam family "Bacterial small subunit ribosomal RNA", at positions 524 to 776 of the family's 1533-position model. The record is from RNAcentral.
UACGUAGGGUGCAAGCGUUGUCCGGAUUUACUGGGCGUAAAGCGCACGUAGGCGGAUCGUUAAGUCGGGGGUGAAAUCCUGGAGCUCAACUCCAGAACUGCCUUCGAUACUGGCGAUCUUGAGUCCGGAAGAGGUGAGUGGAACUCCUAGUGUAGAGGUGGAAUUCGUAGAUAUUAGGAAGAACACCAGUGGCGAAGGCGGCUCACUGGUCCGGUACUGACGCUGAGGUGCGAAAGCGUGGGGAGCAAACAGG